Molecule: ribosomal RNA, 253 nt
Filed under: uncultured bacterium
Lineage: Bacteria
Description: partial 16S ribosomal RNA
Rfam family: Bacterial small subunit ribosomal RNA
Source: RNAcentral
UACAGAGGUCUCAAGCGUUGUUCGGAUUCACUGGGCGUAAAGGGUGCGUAGGUGGUGGGGUAAGUCGGAUGUGAAAGCUCGGAGCUCAACUCCGAAAUGGCAUUGGAAACUACCCUGCUGGAGGUUUGGAGGGGGGACUGGAAUACUUGGUGUAGCAGUGAAAUGCGUAGAUAUCAAGUGGAACACCAGUGGCGAAGGCGAGUCCCUGGACAAAACCUGACACUGAGGCACGAAAGCUAGGGGAGCAAACAGG